Long non-coding RNA from Cygnus olor (mute swan), 3054 nucleotides. RefSeq lists it as uncharacterized. The transcript is spliced from 3 exons. NCBI's taxonomy places the organism in Eukaryota, Metazoa, Chordata, Aves, Anseriformes, Anatidae. The record is from RefSeq and is a predicted model, not a curated record.
GGAGGCACCCGCUCUGACGCUGAAGGUUAUUCUAUUUUUAACAUCAUGCUGCCGCACUUUUUUUGGUGGAGAGAUGCUAAUAAAAAGAUUACAUUGCUGUCCACCCAUUGCUGGCACCUGACCUGAUGGGUUUCUCUUCAACAUGCAUGAGGCUGACUUGUUUUUCGUAGAGGAAUUUGGAAAGGAAGAGGAAGCCGAGUUUUCCAGCACAUCCACUGGAUGUUUUUCUAGGAGCUGGUCCCCAGCAGGAUCUGUUCCUUUCCAAGGCAUUGCUUUGGCCCUUUCUGAAGGUUUCCCACCUCUCCAACAGUCCCACUCUCUUAACACCUCCCCUGGAAUUAUUCCUCAGCUUCACUUUGUGUGCUGAAGGCCAAGCAUCCUCCAAGCCCCAGUGCAUUGCAAAUGAUUUAAAGGGCUUAGAGCUCCUUUGCCAGGGCUUUGGUCUCAAACAAUGCACAGUAGCUGUGCAUAAUUUUGACUUUUCCCCAUGUGGCAGGGGUUUAAAGAAUAUUUUUCUUAUCGAAACACUUUUUUUUUUUUUUUUUAAGUGAAAACAUCAAAUAAACUAGCAGAAAAUCUAAUUAAUUUUUCAUCAUGUGCAGAGUCUCUGGAAUAAUUAACAGGGUUGAGAUUCCCCACAAGCCAAUAUCAGCUGUGCCAUGAAUAUUCAUGCCGGAUGGAAACAGCGAGGAUUGAGGGGCAGGUGUCGAUUUUCAUUGACUUUGGGAAGCGAUUGUGGAUGCUGCAGGUUAGCCGCCUGCCGUGCUGCUACGUGGUGAUGGUGGUGGCCACCUCUGCAGAAGGCAAAGCCUCUGGUGAUGUUUCUGGAAGGAAAAAUGUUUUCCAAACCAAUUUGAAAUGAGAAAGGGAGCUUGAAGUGUCUGGGGAUGGUGGAGGAGAUGCAGUCUAUGUGAUGGGUAAGAUAAUAAGCUGAGGGUCAGUUGAUGGGUGGACACACAGUGUGGCUCCACCGGGCUUUGACACGGAGUUCUCACUUUCCUGGAAUGAAAAUAAAGCCAAAAAGCUGCACUAAACACUGGUUUUGUUUCAGUUUGGGUGGCUUAGAGCUUAAAUCGCCUCAAAAAGAGCCUAUUAAAGGCAACGGGCACCACGGGGUGAUAAGGGGAAGUGCCCUAAGGAUGCACAUCAAGAUCAAACUGUGAGUUUCAGAGGGGUUUGCACAUGGUUUUCUGUGUCAGAGGGAAAUAGGCAAGCUGUAAAUGGAAAUCAGCUGCUGGCUCUGGAGUUGGAAAUGAAAUGCAAGUCCAUUCAGUUUGCAAGUUUGUCUUAAAAUGUAUCUGGUAGCAAUUCUGUUUGUUGAUAUCUUUAAUGGGAUUUAAUUAAGUAUGCUUACAGGACAAGGAAAGACCAUAUGGUCCCCCUUAUUAUCAGCUAAUUUAACUUUUCCCAAGGAUAAUUAAAACCAAUGGAUGUAUUUGCCGUAUUAACAACUGCAAAGACCAAGCUUUCUUCCGCCUUGCUUUCUUAGCAGCAGCCUCAAGAGCAAAAUUCUUCUAUGGACUUUAAUAGAAGCUAAUACUGCAUUACUGUCUGGGGUCAGUCUUCUAGAUUGACCCACGUAGUGCUUCGGUAGGAACUCAAUUUUUUGAAGGUAAGCCAUUUUUUGAUAUUGGUUCUAUAUGCAGAGUCAGCUUGCACCUGAAACAGGUUGCUGAAUAGGGGCUUUGCUUCGUUUCAUGAAAUAUAUCUUUGCAUUUGAAUUCUCACUUGUAUAACAUCUGUAAUCAGGUUGGUCAAAGGACAGAAAGGACAGAUGCUGGAGCACAGCAUCCCUUCCCAAAAUACCCGGUCUCUGUUUUGGGACGCGAGCAGCAAAUCCUCAGCCUCCCAUGGCGGUUUGCUUCAAAGCCCGAUCCUACUCAUCACUAAGAGCAUGAGCUUUGCUCCUAAUCUGAAUUGCCGACUGGAGCUUCUAGCCAUUGAUUUGCAAUACGGCUCCUUCCCCGCUUGUAAAGAUCCUUUAAUACCUGGUAUUUUCUCCUCUGAGGAUAUGAUGUGCUGUAAUCAAGUCAUCUCUCACUUGUCUGUGCGAUAACUGGGGCCGGUGGCACUGUUCGUGUCCGAAUGCUAACGGCUUUUUGUAAGCGUCGCGCACGUGCAUGGCUUUUUCUGCCUUUCUGACCCCUUUUUCCACCUUCCGACCCCUUUUUUCCACCUGCCAAAAGUGGGUGCCCCAUUUGGAGGCUCCAUUUCCACGUUGGCUUCACUUACAUCGAGGUGUUCAAUAGCACUGCCAUGUUGCAGAACCCCCCCAAAAAUAACCCUGGAGAUCCGAUAAGCCAUAAACUCCCUAAUAAAAAAAGGGUCAGCAGGCUUAUCCCUGGAGAAACGGGGUGGCCCAUGCAUUUAGAGUGAUUUUCAUGAGAUGUGUGCUUCCAGCCCUAACAGCUCUGAUCUUUUCAGGACUGGGUGGAUGAAGAGGGAGCAACUCCAGAGCUUGUAUGACUUCUUUGGGCUUAAUGCAGCUACAGGGGGUCCUGUGCUGAGCAGGCAAAGCAGAUUUUCGUUGCCAAAACCAUCUCCAGCCAGCACACGUGGUCCCAUCACCAUUGGAUUUUCCUGCUUGGAUGGAAUCCACCAUUGGAUUUUCCUGCUUUUCCUGAUGGCAAGGCAGGGAUGGCUCUGCAGAUGCUCUUCGAAUGGCCACAGCCCAUCCAAGCACGAGAAACUCUCCCACUCGCCAUCUUCUGCAGUUGUCACCUUGGGUUAUGAAGGGGAAAUAUGAAUUUUCCAGCUCCCUAGACCCUGCUGGGAAGACUUGUAGCAUCAUCCUGGAGGAAAUCCUGCUUAUCAUGUCAGCUGCCAGUCAUCAAGGUCCAAUUCUGCCCCUGUUGUCUCUUGGGAUCCAGUCCCAUGUUGCUUCAACCCAAAUUUCUCCUGGUGCAACACCUCAUGGCACGAUCAGCUAUUCCCCCUCUGCUGCCACAGCCUGCUGAUGCAUUGAUGGACAGGAGCUGGGGGAGAAAACCUUUGCUGGAGAGCGGUGGGCUCAGCAGCUGGACAAAAUGGACCAAGAGACAAGAGAUGGGAAGA